This 185-nucleotide non-coding RNA is filed under the name Paraliobacillus sp. PM-2. Lineage: Bacteria; Bacillati; Bacillota; Bacilli; Caryophanales; Bacillaceae. The record is from RNAcentral.
CUUAACUUUAUAACCGAGAAUGGGAAUGAUAGAUCCAUGUUUCUUGAAACCAUUCCGUCAAUACUCCUGCAUGCGUCUUGGCUGACAGGUCAAGGGGUUUGAAGUACAGGUAGAUUCGGCAAAACGAAGGCUGAAGCCAUUCCUUCGGAAAAGGUAUGCCAACGGAUAUGCCGCACGGCUGAAAA